UGGGGGAUAUUGCACAAUGGGCGAAAGCCUGAUGCAGCGACGCCGCGUGGGGGAUGAAGGCUUUCGGGUUGUAAACCUCUUUCGCUAUCGAACAAGGCCCGCUUAGGGUGGGUUGAGGGUAGGUGGAGAAGAAGCGCCGGCUAACUACGUGCCAGCAGCCGCGGUAAUACGUAGGGCGCGAGCGUUGUCCGGAAUUAUUGGGCGUAAAGGGCUUGUAGGCGGCUUGUUGCGCCUGCUGUGAAAACGCGGGGCUUAACUUCGCGCGUGCAGUGGGUACGGGCAGGCUUGAGUGUGGUAGGGGUGACAGGAAUUCCAGGUGUAGCGGUGGAAUGCGCAGAUAUCUGGAGGAACACCGAUGGCGAAGGCAGGUCACUGGGCCAUUACUGACGCUGAGGAGCGAAAGCAUGGGUAGCGAACAGG
RNAcentral lists this ribosomal RNA (420 nucleotides) under bacterium. Its description in RNAcentral is "partial 16S ribosomal RNA". It matches the Rfam family "Bacterial small subunit ribosomal RNA", at positions 355 to 776 of the family's 1533-position model. The record is from RNAcentral.